Molecule: ribosomal RNA, 495 nt
Filed under: uncultured bacterium
Lineage: Bacteria
Description: partial 16S ribosomal RNA
Rfam family: Bacterial small subunit ribosomal RNA
Source: RNAcentral
AUGAACGCUGGCGGCGUGCCUAAUACAUGCAAGUCGAGCGAACGGACGAGAAGCUUGCUUCUCUGAUGUUAGCGGCGGACGGGUGAGUAACACGUGGAUAACCUACCUAUAAGACUGGGAUAACUUCGGGAAACCGUAGCUAAUACCGGAUAAUAUUUUGAACCGCAUGGUUCAAAAGUGAAAGACGGUCUUGCUGUCACUUAUAGAUGGAUCCGCGCUGCAUUAGCUAGUUGGUAAGGUAACGGCUUACCAAGGCAACGAUGCAUAGCCGACCUGAGAGGGGGAACGGCAAAAAUGGAACUGAGACACGGUCCAGACUCCUAGGGGAGGCAGCAGUAGGGAAUCUUCCGCAAGGGGCGAAAGCCUGACGGAGAAACGCCGGGGGAGUGAUGAAGGUCUUCGGAUCGUAAAACUCUGUUAUUAGGGAAGAAAAUAGGUGAAAGUAACUGGGCACAUCUUGACGGUACCUAAAAAAAAAGCCACGGCAAACUACGU